GACGAACGCUGGCGGCGUGCUUAACACAUGCAAGUCGAACGGAAAGGCCCUGCUUUUGCGGGGUGCUCGAGUGGCGAACGGGUGAGUAACACGUGAGUAACCCGCCCUGGACUUGGGGAUAACUGCAGGAAACCGGGGCUAAUACCGGCUAGGAGCUCCUGCUGCAUGGUGGGGGUUGGAAAGUUUCGGUGGGUGGGGAUGGACUGCGGGCUUAUCAGCUUGUUGGUGGGGGAGUGGCUUACCGAGGGAUUGGCGGGUAGCCGGCCUGGGAGGGUGACCGGCGACAUUGGGACUGAGAGAGGGCCCAGACUCCUACGGGAGGCAGCAGUGGGGAAUAUUGCACAAUCGGCGGAAGCCUGAUGCAGAAACGCCGCGUGCGGGAUGACGGCCUUCUGGGGGGAAACCGCUGUCGCCUGUGACGAAGCGGGAGUGACGGUAAUGGGUAAAGAAGCACCGGCUAACUACGUG
RNAcentral lists this ribosomal RNA (468 nucleotides) under uncultured bacterium. Its description in RNAcentral is "partial 16S ribosomal RNA". It matches the Rfam family "Bacterial small subunit ribosomal RNA", at positions 28 to 507 of the family's 1533-position model. The record is from RNAcentral.